GUGGGGAAUAUUGCACAAUGGGCGCAAGCCUGAUGCAGCGACGCCGCGUGGGGGAUGACGGCCUUCGGGUUGUAAACUCCUUUCGCCAGGGACGAAGCGUUUUGUGACGGUACCUGGAGAAGAAGCACCGGCUAACUACGUGCCAGCAGCCGCGGUAAUACGUAGGGUGCAAGCGUUGUCCGGAAUUACUGGGCGUAAAGAGCUCGUAGGUGGUUUGUCACGUCGUCUGUGAAAUUCCACAGCUUAACUGUGGGCGUGCAGGCGAUACGGGCUGACUUGAGUACUGUAGGGGUAACUGGAAUUCCUGGUGUAGCGGUGAAAUGCGCAGAUAUCAGGAGGAACACCGAUGGCGAAGGCAGGUUACUGGGCAGUUACUGACGCUGAGGAGCGAAAGCAUGGGUAGCAAACAGGAUUAGAAACCCUAGUAGUCC
This 431-nucleotide ribosomal RNA is filed under the name uncultured bacterium. RNAcentral's name for it is "bacterial SSU rRNA". It matches the Rfam family "Bacterial small subunit ribosomal RNA", at positions 354 to 796 of the family's 1533-position model. The record is from RNAcentral.